Molecule: ribosomal RNA, 465 nt
Filed under: uncultured bacterium
Lineage: Bacteria
Description: bacterial SSU rRNA
Rfam family: Bacterial small subunit ribosomal RNA
Source: RNAcentral
CCUACGGGGUGCACCAGUAGGGAAUCUUCGGCAAUGGACGAAAGUCUGACCGAGCAACGCCGCGUGAGUGAAGAAGGUUUUCGGAUCAUAAAACUCUGUUGUUAGAGAAGAACAAGUAGGAGAGUAACUGCUCUUACCUUGACGGUAUCUAACCAGAAAGCCACGGCUAACUACGUGCCAGCAGCCGCGGUAAUACGUAGGUGGCAAGCGUUGUCCGGAUUUAUUGGGCGUAAAGCGAGCGCAGGCGGUUUCUUAAGUCUGAUGUGAAAGCCCCCGGCUCAACCGGGGAGGGUCAUUGGAAACUGGGAGACUUGAGUGCAGAAGAGGAGAGUGGAAUUCCACGUGUAGCGGUGAAAUGCGUAGAGAUGUGGAGGAACACCAGUGGCGAAGGCGACUCUCUGGUCUGUAACUGACGCUGAGGAGCGAAAGCGUGGGGAGCGAACAGGAUUAGAUACCCGCGUAGUC